GGGGGCGGCGUCUAUACAUAGCAGUCGAGCGGGGAAAGUAGCUUGCUACUUAACCUAGCGGCGGACGGGUGAGUAAUGCUUAGGAAUCUGCCUAUUAGUGGGGGACAACAUCUCGAAAGGGAUGCUAAUACCGCAUACGUCCUACGGGAGAAAGCAGGGGACCUUCGGGCCUUGCGCUAAUAGAUGAGCCUAAGUCGGAUUAGCUAGUUGGUGGGGUAAAGGCCUACCAAGGCGACGAUCUGUAGCGGGUCUGAGAGGAUGAUCCGCCACACUGGGACUGAGACACGGCCCAGACUCCUACGGGAGGCAGCAGUGGGGAAUAUUGGACAAUGGGGGGAACCCUGAUCCAGCCAUGCCGCGUGUGUGAAGAAGGCCUUUUGGUUGUAAAGCACUUUAAGCGAGGAGGAGGCUACCGAGAUUAAUACUCUUGGAUAGUGGACGUUACUCGCAGAAUAAGCACCGGCUAACUCUGUGCCAGCAGCCGCGGUAAUACAGAGGGUGCAAGCGUUAAUCGGAUUUACUGGGCGUAAAGCGCGCGUAGGUGGCCAAUUAAGUCAAAUGUGAAAUCCCCGAGCUUAACUUGGGAAUUGCAUUCGAUACUGGUUGGCUAGAGUAUGGGAGAGGAUGGUAGAAUUCCAGGUGUAGCGGUGAAAUGCGUAGAGAUCUGGAGGAAUACCGAUGGCGAAGGCAGCCAUCUGGCCUAAUACUGACACUGAGGUGCGAAAGCAUGGGGAGCAAACAGGAUUAGAUACCCUGGUAGUCCAUGCCGUAAACGAUGUCUACUAGCCGUUGGGGCCUUU
This 800-nucleotide ribosomal RNA is filed under the name Prolinoborus sp. JSM 2155012. Its description in RNAcentral is "bacterial SSU rRNA". It matches the Rfam family "Bacterial small subunit ribosomal RNA", at positions 38 to 833 of the family's 1533-position model. The record is from RNAcentral. Lineage: Bacteria; Pseudomonadati; Pseudomonadota; Betaproteobacteria; Neisseriales; Neisseriaceae.